Molecule: ribosomal RNA, 253 nt
Filed under: uncultured bacterium
Lineage: Bacteria
Description: partial 16S ribosomal RNA
Rfam family: Bacterial small subunit ribosomal RNA
Source: RNAcentral
UACGUAGGUGGCGAGCGUUGUCCGGAUUUAUUGGGCGUAAAGCGCGCGCAGGUGGUGCGGUAAGUCUGUCGUGAAAUCUCCCGGCUCAACUGGGAGGGUGCGGUGGAGACUGCCGGACUGGAGGCACUCAGAGGCCGGUGGAAUUCCCGGUGUAGUGGUGAAAUGCGUAGAGAUCGGGAGGAACACCAGUGGCGAAGGCGGCCGGCUGGGCCAAGACUGACGCUGAGGCGCGACAGCGUGGGGAGCAAACAGG